RNAcentral lists this unclassified non-coding RNA (282 nucleotides) under plant metagenome. Its description in RNAcentral is "partial contains small subunit ribosomal RNA, internal transcribed spacer 1, and 5.8S ribosomal RNA". The record is from RNAcentral.
UUUCCGUAGGUGAACCUGCGGAAGGAUCAUUGUCGAAACCUGCCCAGCAGAACGACCCGCGAACUUGUAUAAACAACCGGGGGCGGGGGGCGUUCGCGCCCCGUGCCCCCGAACGGCGGGGAGACACUCGUGCCUUCUUGCCGAACAACGAACCCCGGCGCGGUCUGCGCCAAGGAACUUCAACUAAAGAGUGCCUCCGGUCGCCUCGGAAACGGCGUGCGUGCCGGGGGCGAAUCUUGUGCAAAACCAUAACGACUCUCGGCAACGGAUAUCUCGGCUCUC